Pantherophis guttatus is the source of this 850-nucleotide long non-coding RNA. RefSeq lists it as uncharacterized. NCBI's taxonomy places the organism in Eukaryota, Metazoa, Chordata, Lepidosauria, Squamata, Colubridae. The record is from RefSeq and is a predicted model, not a curated record.
UGGCUGACUACAGGCUAACACUUUUCUUAACAUUUUGUUUGUGAACAAACCAACACAAGGUUAAUGAGAAUAAGGCAUUCUAAACCACUCGGAUUCCUUUUUCUGACAGAAUAACCAAUUUAGCUCACAAUGGGAGUGCACUGAACAGUGUAUCUUUACUUGAACAAAUCUGAACAUUUGAAAAAGUCACCAGUGAGACUCUACUAUGGAAGAUAACAAAUCAAGAAAGAUAUCAGGUCUUAUUUUCCACUGACUCACGUCACGGUGGUGGCAUCAACAACCCCAUCCAUAAGGAGCCCACUGCCAGCCCAUUUCUUCUGCAGCUGCUUGCUGCCACUUGUGUAUGUCAUUCCUGGCCUCUGGCAAGUGGCGCAGCAGUGGACCAGCAAGGCAAGGCAGGUGUCAGGUGUGCAAGGCCUGGCUGCAAUUAUCUAAAGUUUCAAGUUAUGAACUUUCACCGCUAUGAACAAAGCUGUCUGCAACUCCAACCUAGAAGAUCCUAGAACAGCACACCCCAAAUCUUUUGACACCAGGGACUGUUUCCUUGAAGAGAAGAUUUUCCGUGGACCGGAGGGGGUGUGUGUGGUUUCACGUGCUACCUGCAUCCCGCAGAUGGUGCUUCGUUUGUUUGCACGUUCUGGUUGCUGGCAUGCCACAGACCACUGCCGGUAUACAGAGUGGGAGUUGGGAACCGCAAUCCUAGAAGAUGGAAAAAAAAUAGUUUACGCUGCACUGCAUACAUACAUUGAUUGUUUUAAAAUUGACUUUAUGAACAGCCUGUUGGAAUGCAACCUGUUUUUAAGUAGAAAAUUGUAUUCUAUAUAAUCUGCAAUGAAAAUUAGUGAAGGGA